CCUACGGGUGGCUGCAGUCGAGAAUCAUUCACAAUGGGGGAAACCCUGAUGGUGCGACGCCGCGUGGGGGAAUGAAGGUCUUCGGAUUGUAAACCCCUGUCAUGUGGGAGCAAAUUAAAAAGAUAGUACCACAAGAGGAAGAGACGGCUAACUCUGUGCCAGCAGCCGCGGUAAUACAGAGGUCUCAAGCGUUGUUCGGAAUCACUGGGCGUAAAGCGUGCGUAGGCUGUUUCGUAAGUCGUGUGUGAAAGGAGCGGACUCAACCCGAGGACGGCACAUGAUACUGCGAGACUAGAGUAAAGGAGGGGGAACCGGAAUUCGCGGUGUAGCCGUGAAAUGCGUAGAUAUCGAGAGGAACACUCGUGGCGAAGGCGGGUUCCUGGACAUUAACUGACGCUGAGGCACGAAGGCCAGGGGAGCGAAAGGGAUUAGAUACCCGGGUAGUC
Molecule: ribosomal RNA, 446 nt
Filed under: uncultured bacterium
Lineage: Bacteria
Description: partial 16S ribosomal RNA
Rfam family: Bacterial small subunit ribosomal RNA
Source: RNAcentral